This 316-nucleotide ribosomal RNA is filed under the name uncultured Alphaproteobacteria bacterium. Its description in RNAcentral is "bacterial SSU rRNA". It matches the Rfam family "Bacterial small subunit ribosomal RNA", at positions 144 to 496 of the family's 1533-position model. The record is from RNAcentral. Lineage: Bacteria; Pseudomonadati; Pseudomonadota; Alphaproteobacteria.
UAACAUGAGGAAACUUAUGCUAAUACCGGAUAAGCCUUACAGGAAAGCUUACGCUCCGAUUGAUGAGUCCACACUUGAUUAGUUAGUUGGUGAGGUAAUAGCUCACCAAGACAAUGAUCAAUAGCUGAUUUGAGAGGAUGAUCAGCCACAUUGGGACUGAGACACGGCCCAAACUCCUACGGGAGGCAGCAGUGGGGAAUCUUGCACAAUGGGGGNAACCCUGAUGCANNGAUGCCGCGUGAGUGAAGAAGGCCUUUGGGUUGUAAAGCUCUUUCGUCGGGGNAGAAAAUGACUGUACCCGAAUAAGAAGGUCCGC